UACAAACAGUAGAAAUAAGUUGAAUAAUUUUUUAUAUAAUCAAAUCCCUGUAGGGUUGAAACUGAGUUUAAAUGGGGAUUCAGAAACGACUCACAAACAACCCUAAUAUCUUUACAAACACCUGCAACAGCGAUUUGUAAAGAAGCAAGGAAGAAAUCGCAAAUGAUGAUAAUAGUGUAAUCACAAUUACAGAAAGGGCAACAACUGCUACACUUAUAGGAUUUUACGUCCGUCAUGAGUGAUACUUUAAGCACCGCCAAAAGUCCUCAUGGUAAUCAAUUCAAGUAAAACCGAAGAUGAUCUUGAAUCUAUAAAUGUUUACUCAAGAAGUUGCAAAGGCGGCUACUUUGUAUUUAUAAAAAAAGUGAGUAGUAUAUGGUGAC
Molecule: long non-coding RNA, 383 nt
Organism: Erigeron canadensis
Lineage: Eukaryota; Viridiplantae; Streptophyta; Magnoliopsida; Asterales; Asteraceae
Exons: 3
Source: RefSeq, a predicted model, not a curated record